UGGCUGCUUAGUGUCUUUUUAAAAAAAUUUGAGGAUAAUUCAGUCAUUUAGCAUAGCUCUAUACGUGGCUUUUUUUCUCCUUCCGCAAAUACUACGUGUAGCUUUCUUUGUUUCUUUCUCCGCCGGCGCAUCCUUUUCCCGCCUCAUAAUCGGAUCGCUUAUCUGAGGCCCUGAGUCUGCUCCUCUUUCUUCAUUCUCGGUUUUUACUGAUUUCUCUUUGGAAUUUCACUCCCAAUACAGUACAAUUUAUCUCUCUUGUGCUCAACCCAAGAGUUCCGUUAUGGAAGAGCGUGGAGAAAACCAUGAAAGGACCAAUUUUAAUUGCAAAUCUAAAUGUCAUAGGAUUAUCAGUUAUCAUUGGAUGUUACAGAGCAUGUGCUUGAAGACGCCUUCAGCCAUUUUUGUAAAAAUAUCAUUGUCAGUAUCUUGUGAAGAAUAUUUAGGCGACUUUCCGUUCAGGAGAUCUCGGACGACCCUUGAAUGAUUAAGACAGCUAAUCCGAAUGGAGCCUGCUGAAAUUAAGUGAUAUUUUUGCAUACUGCUCUCAUCUCGAGUCUAUCAACCCAUUUGCACCAGUUGAAUAAUGUCCAGCAUCACAAAAUUUGACAGAAGAUCCCUAGUAGAUGUGAAAUUCUUGAGAGUCUAUACCUCUUUUGCAGGCCGCUGGCAGAAAUGUUGAGGUUGCAGGAAACGUCAAUGACGAGAUCUUUUGAGAAUUAAUAGGCUGGAUCUAGAGAGAAUCUGCUGGAAGGCAUUUGUUAUUAAAUAACAAAAUUUAGUGCAUUUUCUUAAAGCUAUAGAAUUUGGGGCAACGGAUCUGUCAUAUCUGCUUGACUAAAUUGACGUUCACAAUUACAAGGUUAAAGAGGAAGCUUUUAGUAGGAGAGACAUGACCUUGAAAAGGUAGCGAAGGUCGUAGGCUGCACGUCGGUGAUGAGUACUGGCUGGAGGAGUGUAAGAGGUUGGAAAUUAUGUAGCAUUUGUAGCCACUUAUGCAUGUUUCUGCACCAUACUUCUUUUUGUAAUAAUUCUCGCAUAGAAAAAUAAGCCCUUGAUGUAAGAGUUAUAGCCACAAGUCUAUUUAGAAGGAACAUUCAAACACAAACUACAACCAAUACCAGCUCAUGAUACAAGUACAAAUUCAAAAAUCAACGACAUAAAUCUUUAUAUCCUCCUUCAACAAACGUUAUAACCGCAUGAUACAAACAAAAAGAUGAGAACUGAAUAUAUGCUACCUAAGUGAAGAAUGUGAUGCUUAUCAGAGUUUUGGAGUGAAUUCAGGCAACUUAAAUAUUGAAAUGACGGAGGUAAAUUUACAAGGUCAGAUCUGGGGCGCCGACAAAGGAACAUAUUGCUUGGACGGAGAGAGAACACAGGUCAGUAACCGUUUAGCUUCAGUCUAAUGUGCAAUAUUAAGCUAGAUGUCUUUUUCUUAUGUGCUUAUAAGAAACUCAUGAGUAUAUCUUCUGUGUUUCAGGUUACUCCAGAUUAUUUGUUUUAGCCUAUGUCAUAUUUACGUCACCUCUGUCUGUGUGCAUCCACCAUAUAAAUGACAGAGAAAAUGUUACACUUAAACGAUUAGUAGGUUCUUAAUAAGUUAAUAAUGUAAUCAGUUGUUGGAAGCCUUAUGAGUUUAUAACAUGGAUAGUUGACGCUUGCUUACUUCACAAAAGUAUGAUACGGUUUUUCUGCAUUGCAAUUUGAGUAUUCUACCCAGUCUAGAUAGUCACAUUGUCUAACUUAUGAAGAUUUUCAUUGUGGUAAUUAUGUCUUUAAUUCAAUCACCACUAUCGUUUUGCAUAUAUGGCUUUGCCAAGCUUGAGCUAACUAUUUUGGCAUCUCCACGUGAUAGGGCCAUCAAUAACUCCAUAAGGCUGAGGUUCUUUGCAGUACACAUCUUUUUUCUUGAUCUUCACUAUAAGAUAUUAUCAGAAAGUUGAUGUUGGCAGAACACUCCCAGUAAUUAAGAAAUAGCAUACAUCUCCAUAGUCCUUGCUAGAAAUGAUAAUGGAAGAGGAGUACAAUAAUAUUUUAAUGGUUAAAGCUCUUAGUAAGGAACAAUACAGUCGGUUGACCUCACCGGCAAUCUUAUGUAGAGCAAAGCAACAAUCAAUCCUAAACGGUGAAAAUGGAGAGAGAAAAAGCGAUGGAACCAAAGACAAUAGAUAAGAUGUGGCUUUUUAGCUUUGAAGCGGACGACACGUUUCUUAGAUAUGGUAAAAAGCCAACAAUACCCUCAACUAAAAAUUUAAUGAUACUAAGCUCACACGUCGAAACUCUAGCUCUUCUAUAAUAUAGAUAGAAAAUAUUCGUCCUUCUUUGAGGGUUUUCUCUCCGUGUGUGCUUUGCACACAUCUAUCUUCAUCUGAUUUUUUAUUUCAGUAAUCCAAGAUGCAAUAAUCGGGGACAACUUCAGCAUUGAAGAUCUCAGCUAAGGUAGAAUACUAUUCUUAAGCCCUUGUACUUAAAGGGUCAUCAACCCUAUCCAAUAACCACUUUAUCUGCUCGCCUAUAUAUUUUGUGGCAAAAAGUUUUGAUUGGGGUGUUUUUGUUUCUUUUGUGUUUAGUAAAAUUGGUUUGAAUACCUCAUAUUAUUUAUUAAGAAUAACUUUUCAAUAUGAAGAAAGACCAGAUCUUUAUAACGCUCUCAAAGUGAGCUUUCCUAUCUGACUAUCCCAGUCUUGUGCUCGCUCCUAUUUGGAAAUUUUCAAUACACUACUAGAACUGAGAUGAAUUUGUAGUUUGUUUUCGUUGAAUAGACUUAGGGACUUCACUGAGAAGACUCAAACAUGACAAAAAUGUUUAUCUGAGAUUUUGGGGAGGUUUCGGGUAAGGUUCAUCUCAUAUUUUAAAAGACCCAAUGCAAUUUUGUUGCUUUACUGUACAUAGAGACUUGAAUCGUUAUAUCUUAUUCGUCUUACGUGUUAAGAUUUAAAAGACAUGAAUGGUGCUACUACUUUCAGAAGUUCAAAAUAGACCACACAUCGUGUGAACUGUGUAAAUAUCUGAUAUGAAACUCAAAUCUCUUAUGUUAGAGUCAUAAUCAAUACGCUUGUCAGUUCUCACUGAUUUGUGUAUCAGUCUAUUAUUUGAGCUAUGAUAAACAUUUAUUUCAAGUAAAAGUGCAUUAGAUUAGAAUUCUUGAUAUCACAUAAUCUGAAAUGAAGGUAAUAAAAAAAGGAGGAAAAAAAUUUACACUUCAGCCAGCCCUGGUUAAUCUUCUUAAGGGAGAUCUAUAAUUUCAGAUUAAAGAUUGAAUGCUGGUAUAGAGUAGCACAUUUUUAGCAACCAUUGAAUAAAAUUAGAGAAAAAAGUAUGAAAGAAUAGAAUUAGGUAAAUAUUCUACUUUAGUAUAGACCCUUAUCUGAGUAUGUGAUGCACAUAGACCUAUCUUUCAAAGAUAUUCUUUAUUCAAGUACAACAACUAAGUGAAUAGGCAGUGCCUCCACAUAGCCAGAUAAACAUCAGUUUGAGUAGAAGAACAUUAGGUGCUUAAAUCAUAAACAUGAUCUUUUUUGAUUUACUGAUUAUGCAUGCGUAUCUUUUUUCCUACUAUUUUGUUUAGCUAUCUUUUAUAGCUACUUGCUGCAGUACAAUAAAGCUGUAAAGUUUAUCCUUUUUUAAAUCCUUUUUAACCCCUUCUUUUGCGUAGUGGGUGGUUGAAGAAUGAGGGGGUUGAAGUAAUUAUUUAUUUAGAAUUGUAAUUUCGAGCCUUUGAUCUUGUACUUAUCAUUCCUAAUUGUCUAUUUGAUGACCUAUUGAACAACCUAAGUGUAUAUGAGUAAUAUCAUUGAACUCAACUGGUGAUCUUUGCUCUAUAUUACUAAAUUUAUACUAUAAAUUUAUGGUUAAAUAUGCUAUUAUAAGUUAAAGCACGUGCUAGCCAUUGUUCUGGUCCACUUAAGGCGGGAAAUAUCAGUUAUUUUUUUGACAAGGACAUGCUACUUUGUUCAGUGAUUGUGGAUUCAGCCUGCUUUGAUUCUAAUAUUUUCGAUUUCUUCAAGUUGAUCUUGGUUCUGCAACUAAGGUAUUGUGUGUAGGUUCCUCCCUUUAAUGUACUUCACGUGUCCUCUACUUUAUCCUUUCCUAAUGUUCAAAUUGCUACUUCAUAUUUUAUGUUCAUAUUAGGAAGUGCAUAAAUGUGCACAAGACAAAUAUGAAAACGAAAGAUCAUGGCUAAAAGAACAUACAUAUCAAAAUAAAGUUGUACUUUUUAAUUUAUCCAUAAAAAGCUUUCAAAAAGUGGAAUAAGGAGUACGCUUUUUCUAAUUUUUCAGCCAAGUAGUUGGCUUUUAAACCCUUCAUAUCUCUAAGGUGCGAUGCUAUUUUUUCCUUAAGUGCAAAUGUAACUAUUGGUUUUUACUUCACUUACAUAUGCAACAACAUUAAGAUUUUUUUUUUUAAAAACAAAAUUACUCCACGAGCUGAACAUAUCUUAAAUGUGUGCAUUUAAGUUAACUUUGAACAUGAGAUGUCAAUAGUCAUCUUUGCUUCUUGUGAUAUGAUUUGAGCAGUCAAUAUAGCUGAACUCAAGAGGAUUGAUCUGCUUAGCUGACAAUAAGAUAUAUUUAUCUGUGAUGAAUUGCUGCAACCGAGGACGGGAGAAAGUAGCAUAUAAAAAGGGCAUUCUGCUGUUGCAUAUUGUCACUUUAAAUGAUGCUUCUCCAGCCUCAUACACCUGAUUAGUUAAGCAAAUUCAAGUGAAAAUUUGAAUUGUUUUAUCAUUUUACUUAAUCGACUUUAUCGCAUAUGAUUAGGUAUUUUGCUCAUUAUUAAGCAAAUGUAUUUUAAAGUUGAGUAAAUGGUUUGUGGAAGGAAUUAGAAAUUGCUGCAAUUUCUUUUAUUUGUAGGUUGCUUUGCAGAAGAACCAGAUAAAGAUGAUCGAGGCACUACUCACGAAGUGGAGGUAAAACAUAAAAUCUGUCAAUAAAGAGAAUAGAUAAAUGCACUCACAAUGAAGUGAUGCCUAGCUCAGCAGAGUUUUAAUAAGUUGAAGAGGGAGAUGACCCAAGAUAUGCUGGUUAAGAAAUUGAAAAAUGUCUAAUGAAAUAAUUGCACAUGUCUGAUUUAGGUAGAACUCACUUUAUUCAUCUAUAUAUGAUGGAUCUAACUUUUUUUGAUUCCUGAGGACAAAUACAAAGGAGCAGGCAUUUUCACUGGUGCAAAGUCCUUGCAAUUGUAUGCCUGUUAAUUGGAUUAUGUAAUGUCGUUCAUUAAUGGUGUAAACUGCUGUAUACUUUGUCUGACAUCUAAUUUGAUAAUUAAUUACAUGAAUCAAUUUUUAUUA
Molecule: long non-coding RNA, 5287 nt
Organism: Nicotiana attenuata
Lineage: Eukaryota; Viridiplantae; Streptophyta; Magnoliopsida; Solanales; Solanaceae
Exons: 5
Source: RefSeq, a predicted model, not a curated record